AUUGAACGCUGGCGGCAGGCCUAACACAUGCAAGUCGAACGGUAACAGGAAGCAGCUUGCUGCUUCGCUGACGAGUGGCGGACGGGUGAGUAAUGUCUGGGAAACUGCCUGAUGGAGGGGGAUAACUACUGGAAACGGUUGCUACUACCGCCUAACGUCGCAACACCAAAGAGGGGGACCUUAGGGCCUCUUGCCAUCGGAUGUGCCCAGAUGGGAUUAGCUAGUAGGUGGGGUAACGGCUCACCUAGGCGACGAUCCCUAGCUGGUCUGAGAGGAUGACCAGCCACACUGGAACUGAGACACGGUCCAGACUCCUACGGGAGGCAGCAGUGGGGAAUAUUGCACAAUGGGCGCAAGCCUGAUGCAGCCAUGCCGCGUGUAUGAAGAAGGCCUUCGGGUUGUAAAGUACUUUCAGCGGGGAGGAAGGGAGGAAAGUUAAUACCUUUGCGCAUUGACGUUACCCGCAGAAGAAGCACCGGCUAACUCCGUG
This 490-nucleotide ribosomal RNA is filed under the name uncultured bacterium. RNAcentral's name for it is "partial 16S ribosomal RNA". It matches the Rfam family "Bacterial small subunit ribosomal RNA", at positions 30 to 507 of the family's 1533-position model. The record is from RNAcentral.